ACCCACCUCCCGCCCGCCGUCCGCGGCGCCGGGAACGCAGUUCCUGGGGUGAAUCGGGCGCCCCCGCAAGGGCGUUCCGUAGGAGACCUUCCUACUCCGAACCCGUCAGCUAACCCGGUAGGCGACAGGGAAGGAAAGG
RNAcentral lists this small RNA (139 nucleotides) under Streptomyces albus. RNAcentral's name for it is "c-di-AMP sequence". It matches the Rfam family "c-di-AMP riboswitch aptamer (ydaO/yuaA leader)". Rfam says of the family: This family represents a conserved RNA structure found upstream of the ydaO and yuaA genes in Bacillus subtilis and related genes in other bacteria. The ydaO/yuaA element is thought to act as a genetic "off" switch for the ydaO and yuaA genes in its native state. It is believed that the element may be triggered during osmotic shock leading to activation of ydaO, a predicted amino acid transporter gene, and members of the yuaA-yubG operon which code for KtrA and KtrB K+ transporters. Lineage: Bacteria; Bacillati; Actinomycetota; Actinomycetes; Kitasatosporales; Streptomycetaceae. RNAcentral also lists the same sequence under 1 other name. The record is from RNAcentral.